CUCCCCUGUCUCAGUUUAAAAUCAUUCCCCCUUGUCCUAUUGCUGUCUACCCUUGUAAACAACCGUUCCCCCUCCUGUUUAUACACUCCCUUCAAAUAGCUGCUUUUGGAGAUUUUGUAGUAACUUUUCUCUUUAUACCUGAGUACCAUUAUUUGAGAACUUUAUAAAAUAAACUCAAUAUGCUAUUUCUUUGAGUGAGGUUUAUCGUUAGAAUUCUUUGGUGAUCACCAUCCUGUUAAUACGUGCAAUCAGAGUGAUACUUUCCACCAUUGUUUCUAGUACUACCUGACAUUAAAUCUUCUUGCACUAAGACUGUACCAGUGACAGUAUGCACCCCUUCUCAAAAAGCCUUAUUUGAUACUUCCUGAAAAAUGCCAUCUCCCAAGACCAAAUCAUUAAACUUCCAUCUCUGAGGAACACUUCUGUGCUUACCCAGGUCAUAGGUGUGCUAGCAGGAAUCUAAACCUUGGCAUGAGUAGGGCACGAGUAGCUCGCACCUUUCUUCUUGCCAAAAAGGAAAAUGAAAGAUGAAGAAAAUGCUUUAGAAGCUACUCCUGGGGAAAUGAACACUCGGCCCAUCCAGAACAGGUAACUGCUUGUUUGAAUACCCCAUUUAAAUAUAACAAUAAAUACUGUAUAGACGGUAACUCUUGCACUGUCGCUUAAGAGGUUUUUCUUAUUUCUUUUGCAGGGAUUGCUGUCCCAUUCCUAGAUAGCUUUCCAGUCUGGUGUUUUUCUUGCCUCUUCAUGGCCUCGUGUCUUAAGAGCAGCCUAGCUGGAUCCCUGGUUCCUGUUUCCUCCUGUUUCAGAAUUCUGCUCUCCCCACGUUUUACAUCCCAUACCUUAUAUACCUUAUACCAUAUACACACACUGGGCUUCUGCUGCUUUUUUUUAGUCUUCACUGGUUUUUCUGAGACUUUGGUUGAGUUCCGUCCAAGAUUUUCCACUUGACACUGUUCUCCAUUCCCAGCUGCAGUGAAGAAGGUUUCUUCUGUUGAACAUGUCAGUCAUGCUUUUUAGGCUUUGGGGAGAUUGUCCCUGUCUGUUUCUUUUCUGCUACUUUGAAUCCCUGUAAGAAGAAUUUGGGGAAGAAGUUACAGUUAUUUUUGUAGCUCUUCUCAUAAAGCAAGCGUGGUAACUUCUGUAAAGAGAUCUUGUGGAUUAUUGGGGGGGGGGGGGGGA
Coturnix japonica (Japanese quail) is the source of this 1182-nucleotide non-coding RNA. Lineage: Eukaryota; Metazoa; Chordata; Aves; Galliformes; Phasianidae. The record is from RefSeq and is a predicted model, not a curated record.